GAUGAAGAACGUAGCGAAAUGCGAUAAGUAAUGUGAAUUGCAGAUUUCAGUGAAUCAUCGAAUCUUUGAACGCACCUUGCGCCUUGUGGUAUUCCACAAGGCAUGCCCGUUUGAGUAUCAUUAAAUCAUCAACUCUAAAACCUUUGUGGUUUUUUUUAGAGCUUGGUCUUGAGGGUUUUGCAGGCUUUUUUUUUUUUUUUCGAGUCUGCUCCCUUUAAAUGCAUUAGCGAGACUUCCCUAUGCUGAACCGUCUCUUUGACGUGAUAAUUAUCUGCGUCGAAUUUUGGUUCUCGUUGGGCUUGCUUCUAAUCGUCUGUUAAAGACAAAACGGAUUUGGGUGCAUAUAUGCGCCUUUUUCCAAAACCUUUUUUUGAUCUCAAAUCGGGUAGGACUACCCGCUGAACUUAAGCAUAUCAAUAAGCGGAGGA
This 428-nucleotide unclassified non-coding RNA is filed under the name soil metagenome. RNAcentral's name for it is "partial contains 5.8S ribosomal RNA, internal transcribed spacer 2, and large subunit ribosomal RNA". The stretch from base 1 to 120 matches the Rfam family "5.8S ribosomal RNA", at positions 35 to 154 of the family's 154-position model. The record is from RNAcentral.